Molecule: non-coding RNA, 382 nt
Organism: Pelobates cultripes (western spadefoot toad)
Lineage: Eukaryota; Metazoa; Chordata; Amphibia; Anura; Pelobatidae
Source: the annotation of a GenBank genome assembly
GCAUAUUUUACCACUUAUUUCUCUGUUUCUUACAGCCUCAUAAUUGGUCCUCUAUACCGAUACCAGUCGUUUCAUGAAAGUUUGAGCGUUUGUUUCACGGUUCCUUGAAAUACGGUUCUAUGGUUCAAAUAUUUGGAAGCAAGGUUCUUCACAUCUAAUUCGGCCUAUGGUUCUGGUCUGUUGGGAUGUUCGUCGGUACAUCGAGAAAGAGGAGUGGCUUAAUAUCACAUGGGACAUUAUGGUGCAAGGAGCAUUAUCAUUGGAUAAUAUGUUUAUAAUGUAUUUAACACUUUGGGGUACAUGUUAUUUUGUUUUCUUUGAAUAUUUCAAUAUCCUUUCUUUGCUGCUGAGGAAUAAAGAAAGAGAUUAAGCAUAAUAUGAG